This 433-nucleotide ribosomal RNA is filed under the name uncultured bacterium. Its description in RNAcentral is "partial 16S ribosomal RNA". It matches the Rfam family "Bacterial small subunit ribosomal RNA", at positions 29 to 507 of the family's 1533-position model. The record is from RNAcentral.
AACGAACGCUGGCGGCAUGCCUAACACAUGCAAGUCGAACGAUACCUUCGGGUCUAGUGGCGCACGGGUGCGUAACGCGUGGGAACCUGCCCUUAGGUUCGGAAUAACUCCCCGAAAGGGGUGCUAAUACCGGAUAAUGUCUUCGGACCAAAGAUUUAUCGCCUUUGGAUGGGCCCGCGUUGGAUUAGCUAGUUGGUAGGGUAAAAGCCUACCAAGGCGACGAUCCAUAGCUGGUCUGAGAGGAUGAUCAGCCACACUGGGACUGAGACACGGCCCAGACUCCUACGGGAGGCAGCAGUGGGGAAUAUUGGACAAGGGGCGAAAGCCUGAUCCAGCAAUGCCGCGUGAGUGAUGAAGGCCUUAGGGUUGUAAAGCUCUUUUACCCGGGAUGAUAAUGACAGUACCGGGAGAAUAAGCUCCGGCUAACUCCGUG